This 1246-nucleotide unclassified non-coding RNA is filed under the name Hevea brasiliensis (rubber tree). Lineage: Eukaryota; Viridiplantae; Streptophyta; Magnoliopsida; Malpighiales; Euphorbiaceae. The record is from RNAcentral.
GAAAAUUGAUUGUGAUCCAAGUAUCUGGAAUACAAUCAAGGCUAGCUUAAAAACACAUAAUAAAGAAAAUUCUGUACAGCAAAACAUAAAAACAUUCAACAGUGAGGAAACAUAGACUGAAAUGUGUAUUCUCAUAUUUUCCAAACUUUAGGGGAGCAGGAAGGAGCACUGGUGGAGCUGGAUAUUAAAUUUUAAGGGGGCUAAACAUAAAGCUAAUAUAUAUACACACACAUAGACACACAGAGAGCAACAAUUAAAGCAAUGUCCUGUGAAUUUUUUUAAAUGAUUUUAAAUAUUAUUCAUUAAAUAGUUACUUUGUUGAUGACUUGAUGAUAUAUUACAUAUUCAAUAAAUAUUGCCUACAAGUAAAAUUCCAUUAGAUAAUUAUUAUAUUAAAUUUAAAUACAUAUAAUAAAAAUACAGCACAAAGUAAAUUAUAGAAAGCUAUUUUUUCAGACAAAGUAAAUUAUAGAAAACUAUUUUUUUUAGAUGAAUAAUGAAAAGAUACUGUCAUUUGGGUGGUUGAAAGCCAACCUCAUAGGAUGUUUCAAACCCUAACAAACUCAAUCCCUUUAAGAAUUUUGAAGUACCAAAAACAUAAUAGUGAAAAGAUACUAAGGUAAUAUAUAAAAAUUUAUAUAAAUUGUAAAACAAAAUAAUUAUAUGAUGAUAUACAUGUAUAUUAACUAAAAUUUUCCCUAAAAUGUUUCAAAAUACUUGUAAAAAAAAAGAGUCAUCAUAAAAUUUUUUACGGGGGAGCUCUUGGGACCUGGGGGAGCCAUGGUCCCCUCUAGUCCCCAAGUAGCACCACCACUAGGGAGGAGUAAACAAUCCACCAACUAACUAGCAAGGCAAGUAGAUGUGCUUUUAUGUUGCUGAAAAAAGCCAUGGACAUUUUGAUAACUACACACAAGUAAGUUCAGAUACAAAUGGCUGAGAAAGGGAAAACAUAGAAUCAACAAUUUGUAUCUUAGAUAUUCUCUAUAAUUUUAGAGAAGAGCAUAAUAAUGUCAUAUAACCACGCAACAAUUCAUUUUCAAUAUGAAGAAGAGAGCAAGAUGAUCUGUAGUCUCCUCAGAACCCUGGGCAGGCAUUCUCAUCAAUUUUGAUUGAUAUGAAUUUAUGCAAAAUAUCCUAACAUCUGCCACUAAUCCAUUAUUGAGUAUAUAAACUCAUGGGGAAAAAAAAGGCUUAUCUUAAAUACUUAAAAGAAAAAAAAAGUUAAAUAACUUAUGGAAACAAGAGG